GACGAACGCUGGCGGCGUGCUUAAUACAUGCAAGUCGACUGAACUUAAGGUAGCAAUAUUUUAAGGGAGGUGGCGCACGGGUGAGUAACACGUAGGUAAUCUGCCUUUAGGACUGACAUAACCCAGAGAAAUCUGGGCUAAUAUCAGAUGAUGCAGCGGCUCGACAUCGAGACAGUUGUUAAACCUUCGGGGCCUAGAGAUGAGCCUGCGUCUGAUUAGGUAGUUGGCGGGGUAAUGGCCCACCAAGCCAUCGAUCAGUAGCUGGUCUGAGAGGAUGAUCAGCCACACUGGAACUGAGACACGGUCCAGACUCCUACGGGAGGCAGCAGUAAGGAAUAUUGCUCAAUGGCCGAAAGGCUGAAGCAGCAACGCCGCGUGGAGGAUGAAAUACUUUUGUAUGUAAACUCCUGUGAGAAGGGAAAAAUAUGCAGAUUUUCUGCGUUGAUUGUACCUUCAGAGGAA
This 462-nucleotide ribosomal RNA is filed under the name uncultured bacterium. RNAcentral's name for it is "bacterial SSU rRNA". It matches the Rfam family "Bacterial small subunit ribosomal RNA", at positions 28 to 489 of the family's 1533-position model. The record is from RNAcentral.